GGAUUAGUAACUUAAUUGGUAAAGGGUUAUCUUGUCACGAUAAAAGAUAUCGGUUCGAAUCCGAUCUAGUUCG
This is a transfer RNA of Hirsutella minnesotensis 3608, 73 nucleotides long. It matches the Rfam family "tRNA". Rfam says of the family: Transfer RNA (tRNA) molecules are approximately 80 nucleotides in length. NCBI's taxonomy places the organism in Eukaryota, Fungi, Ascomycota, Sordariomycetes, Hypocreales, Ophiocordycipitaceae. The record is from Rfam.